UGCCAAAACCCUAGUCCUAAAAGGAAGGGAAAAGAAAGCCCUAAAUCCAUGGCAGCAACCCUCUUCUCUUCCUCUCUCUCCUUUAAAAGCCGCAUUAUAGCCGGAAAAUCUGAUGUACGCCUUUCCGGCCGCCCCCUCCGCGCCGCUGUCAUCGGCGGCGGCCCAGCCGGCGCCUCCGCUGCCGAGGCCCUUGCUGCAGGCGGCGUCGAGACCCACCUCAUCGAGCGGCAUCCAGUCGGUGGCAAGCCCUGCGGUGGAGCGAUCCCGCUCUGCAUGCUGUCUGAGUUCUCCCUCCCACCUGAGAUCGUCGACCGGAAGGUGACGCGCAUGAAGAUCGUCUCCCCCUCGAAUCUGACCGUGGAUUUCGGCCAGACGCUGAAGCCGCACGAGUACAUCGCGAUGCUCCGCCGCGAGGUGCUCGACUCGUUCCUGCGCUCGCGCGCUGAAUCCAACGGCGCGGAUCUGAUCGACGGGCUCUUCACUGGUCUCGAAGCCCCUGCGACGGACAGCGACCCGUACGUGGUGCAUUACACGGAGUCGGCUGGGGAGGGCCUCGUGGCGGGGAUCCGACGGUCAAUGGAGGUGGAUGUGGUGGUCGGGGCGGACGGGGCCAACAGCCGCGUGGCGAAGGCUAUCGGGGCGGGAAAUUACACUUCUGCCAUCGCGUUUCAGGAGCGGAUACGGCUGCCGGACGAGAAAAUGGAGUAUUAUGAAAAUCUCGCGGAGAUGUAUGUCGGGAGCGACGUAUCGCCCGAUUUCUACGGCUGGGUUUUUCCGAAGUGCGACCACGUGGCGGUUGGGACAGGGACGGUUUGCUCGAAGGCUGAGAUUAAGAAGUACCAAGCAGGUAUCAGGGACAGGGUUAAGGACAAGAUCAGCGGUGGAAAGGUGAUUAAGGUCGAGGCCCACCCAAUCCCGGAACAUCCACGUCCCCGUAGGGUUGUGGGCCGCGUCGCCCUCGUUGGGGAUGCAGCCGGGUAUGUCACGAAAUGCUCCGGCGAGGGCAUCUACUUUGCUGCGAAGUCAGGCCGCAUGUGCGGCGAGGCGAUCGUCCGUUCAUCCGACUAUGGGAAAAGGAUGAUCGGAGAGGAUGAUCUUAAGAGAGAAUAUCUUAAGCAAUGGGAUAAUCAGUAUUUAAGCAUGUUUAGGUUCUUGGAUUUGCUGCAGAGGGUGUUCUAUGGGAGUAACAUAGGCAGGGAGGCACUGGUGGAGAUGUGUGGAGACCUCUACGUUCAACGGAUGACGUUCGAGAGCUAUCUGUAUAAGAAGAUGGCCGUUGGGGAUUGGAAGGAGGAUGUGAAGAUGAUGUGGAACGCAGUAGGGAGUCUAAUGAGGGCAAGGAUCGUUGGGAGAGAGGUGGAGAGAUUGAAGAUGGCCCAUCCAAAUUCUACUCUUUCCACACGUGCUAAAGUUGCACGUCUGUGAUACGGUUGCUGGCUGGGCCACGGUCGUGUGCUUGAAUGUGGCCUACGUGUCUCAUCUUGUUAGAGACGUGCGGGGUGGCCGGCUCGUGUGGGGAGCGUAGCAUUGGGAUCGCCACAUUGCCCAUUCAUCGGAUCUUGGACUGUUUUCCGUUUGUACAUACCGUUGACCAUACGCUGUUGGGCCAAAAUGAUCCGAACUGUCCAGUCCUUGGAGUGUUGAUCCAUGCUCAUCGUAGCAUUUGUAGUGGUUUACAUCCACAUGAUAUAUCCGAACCGUCCAUUGCAUCUGUCCUCACUUCUUAGGCAGCCUUGAAAAAUUAUACUUAUGGAAUGAUCCAAUACGUCCAGUCAGUGGGUUUUAGAAAAUGAUGGAUACGAUUGUUCAAUGAAUAAAGGUCCUGUUACGGACGUUCAGGACCA
This is an RNA transcript of Magnolia sinica, 1844 nucleotides long. It is a transcript of the gene named geranylgeranyl diphosphate reductase, chloroplastic-like, with no coding region annotated. The transcript has 3 exons. NCBI's taxonomy places the organism in Eukaryota, Viridiplantae, Streptophyta, Magnoliopsida, Magnoliales, Magnoliaceae. The record is from RefSeq and is a predicted model, not a curated record.